Molecule: unclassified non-coding RNA, 61 nt
Filed under: Allostigmatella aurantiaca
Lineage: Bacteria; Pseudomonadati; Myxococcota; Myxococcia; Myxococcales; Archangiaceae
Description: Stigmatella aurantiaca miscellaneous RNA
Source: RNAcentral
UCAGCCUCAGCGCCUCGAGCGCGAGAGCGGCGUUGCGCCGCUCUGGUUGAAUUGCAGGACA